GACAGAGGGGGGCAAGCGUUGCUCGGAAUUACUGGGCGUAAAGGGCGCGUAGGCGGGAUGGCAAGUCGGUCGUGAAAUCCCUCGGCUCAACCGAGGAACGUCGAUCGAUACUGCUGUUCUUGAGGAUUGCAGAGGAGACUGGAAUUCCCGGUGUAGCGGUGAAAUGUGUAGAGAUCGGGAGGAACACCGGUGGCGAAGGCGGGUCUCUGGGCAAUUCCUGACGCUGAGGCGCGAAAGCGUGGGUAGCAAACAGG
RNAcentral lists this ribosomal RNA (254 nucleotides) under uncultured bacterium. Its description in RNAcentral is "partial 16S ribosomal RNA". It matches the Rfam family "Bacterial small subunit ribosomal RNA", at positions 524 to 776 of the family's 1533-position model. The record is from RNAcentral.